RNAcentral lists this ribosomal RNA (465 nucleotides) under Vreelandella stevensii. RNAcentral describes it as "partial 16S ribosomal RNA". It matches the Rfam family "Bacterial small subunit ribosomal RNA", at positions 338 to 795 of the family's 1533-position model. Lineage: Bacteria; Pseudomonadati; Pseudomonadota; Gammaproteobacteria; Oceanospirillales; Halomonadaceae. The record is from RNAcentral.
CCUACGGGUGGCAGCAGUGGGGAAUAUUGGACAAAGGGGGCAACCCUGAUCCAGCCAUGCCGCGUGUGUGAAGAAGGCCCUCGGGUUGUAAAGCACUUUCAGUGAGGAAGAACGCCUGGUGGUUAAUACCCAUCAGGAAAGACAUCACUCACAGAAGAAGCACCGGCUAACUCCGUGCCAGCAGCCGCGGUAAUACGGAGGGUGCGAGCGUUAAUCGGAAUUACUGGGCGUAAAGCGCGCGUAGGUGGCUUGAUAAGCCGGUUGUGAAAGCCCCGGGCUCAACCUGGGAACGGCAUCCGGAACUGUCAAGCUAGAGUGCAGGAGAGGAAGGUAGAAUUCCCGGUGUAGCGGUGAAAUGCGUAGAGAUCGGGAGGAAUACCAGUGGCGAAGGCGGCCUUCUGGACUGACACUGACACUGAGGUGCGAAAGCGUGGGUAGCAAACAGGAUUAGAUACCCGAGUAGUC